This 152-nucleotide transfer RNA is filed under the name Rattus norvegicus (Norway rat). RNAcentral describes it as "tRNA-Gly". The stretch from base 81 to 152 matches the Rfam family "tRNA". Lineage: Eukaryota; Metazoa; Chordata; Mammalia; Rodentia; Muridae. The record is from RNAcentral.
AAGAGGUAGGCGGCGUCGAGGCGCUGGGCGCCGUGUGGUGGCAGUCGGCGGCGACGUGGGGGUGUGGGUCCGGCUGUGCGGCGUUGGUGGUAUAGUGGUGAGCAUAGCUGCCUUCCAAGCAGUUGACCCGGGUUCGAUUCCCGGCCAACGCA